GAGACAGUGAAGGGAUAUAAGUUUCUGACAUGAAAGUCAGGUUAAGAAAAAGAGUAGAAUUAAAGAAUAACUGAGUAAGAUAAAAGGAGUUGGUUAAGCACCAUAAUAGGACACGAUUAGGAAGAGUACAGUUAAGAUAUAGAGGAGGCAAAGUGCAGUUCUAGGAAAGGUAACAAGGUAAACAAAAUAGUAAGGAUUGGGAGCUUAGAAAAGGAUGAUAUUAAGGAGGACGUUUGUCACGGUAUAAGACCUAGAAGUGCAGAGUUCAGAGCAGGUCAGAGUUGAUACAGUGUUAGGAGCUAGAACAUGAAACUCAGAGUUGAAGGAUCUGGAAUAAAUUUU
Molecule: unclassified non-coding RNA, 342 nt
Filed under: Hevea brasiliensis (rubber tree)
Lineage: Eukaryota; Viridiplantae; Streptophyta; Magnoliopsida; Malpighiales; Euphorbiaceae
Source: RNAcentral